RNAcentral lists this transfer RNA (58 nucleotides) under Lycodon flavozonatus (big-tooth snake). RNAcentral's name for it is "tRNA-Ser". Lineage: Eukaryota; Metazoa; Chordata; Lepidosauria; Squamata; Colubridae. The record is from RNAcentral.
GAGGGUGUCACAUAGACCUGCUAACUCUUUAAUCUGGAAAUAACAACCAGCCCCCUCU